Molecule: long non-coding RNA, 2629 nt
Filed under: Olea europaea subsp. europaea
Lineage: Eukaryota; Viridiplantae; Streptophyta; Magnoliopsida; Lamiales; Oleaceae
Source: RNAcentral
CAAACACUUCUUUACGAAUAGCGGGGUUCAAAUGUCAUAUUUCGCUCCUUUCUUUCUUCCCUCCCAUUUUGACUUUCUUUCCUUUGUGAACGAAAUGGAAAAUAAGCCAGUUUCUUCUCCUUCGAUUUCUUCCUGCAGCCACCGCCACACCGCCACCUUGUGAAUUUUGGGGGCUUCAUAAAAAAGGCCGCCCAAAUCCCUCUCAACCCAAUCCCUCAAAACAUCUCGUUUUACCUAGCGCUAGAGGAAAAAUGGAAGACAGUGUGAGAGAUUGAUUUACAGAAUUUAAAUCAGCAAUUUACCAAACCACUUCCGCCACUGGAAUAGCCCAUGAAUAUUGGUAUGGCUAACUAAUGGUGUAUUCUGCUUGUAUUCUCUGUGUUGAAUGAUUUUUGUUUCUUCUUUUUUUUUUUCGACGACCAAACCCUAGAAUUGGAUCGACGACUCUUUUCCCCCUUCCUUUCCUUUGAAGAAUUCAAAUGAAAUCUUCUUCACUUGACUGAUAGUCAUUUUUUCAUUAAGAUUUAACGGUGUACACUAAAAUGUGCAGAUUGUGUCGGGAGAACUGGAUUGUACAACAGAUUUAGAAAACAAAUGUGGUAUAGCAAAGAUAAAGAAUAUGAUUGCAAAUUCAUGUAAAAUUGGAAGGCUGCUGCUCCAAAUUCUGAGUCGACCCUUUCGUCACAAGCUGCCCUGCUUCAGCUGCAGGCCAUAAACAGUCAAUCAAUUGUUAUUCUGGAUGCCUUCUGCAACUGAUCUUCACAAACUGCCCUGCUCCAGCUGCUGUUGAUGCUUGACAUGGGGAAUGCCAGGAAGGUAUCUAACUACCAUUAAUCUAACUUCUACUGUGUUUUUAAUUCUGUUCAGCCCCCUGUUGGAAAUUUUAACAAGCAGACUUGUACAAGAAAGUACCAAAGAAUGGCAUUAUGUAACUAAAGAUGUCAUAGUAAACAAUUAGUUCAUUUUUUCUUGGUAACAUUGUUAUGUUUUCAUGAACACCAUUUUACCCUCAGAUAUUUAUGCUGGUAUAAUUGCACUUUCUACUUCAGUUCUCUUUAUCUCCAAACUAUUGAAAAUUCUCUUUGUUUCUGUGUUAAGAUAUUGGGAUUUUUUAUGCUAGACAAGCCCCUUCUGCUACGAGAAUCUGUUUGGUGUUGCAUUCGACAUGCAUCCCCAAGCUGAACAUUUAAGAAAGAAGAAACUUCUGUAAUUAUAGAGGAAGAUUACAUUUUUUCUGUAAUUUUGCUUAACAUGAAUGAAACUCACUUUUACAACCUUAUGAUUGAUUUUUGGAGUUCACAACACCAUUGCUGAAAUUCGUGGCUGAGUUUGUGUUAAACAAAGCUCAACGCAUGACUUUCAAUACUUCAUCUCCUAAUGGCAUACUUCCUUUUGGAGAAGUUAGCAAAUUGCUUGUUGCAUAUGGCUCAAGGAUCUUGUCUCUUUCAAAGACUACUGAUAUAUAUGCCUUCAAAUACAAGGGCAUAUGGAUUUCUUUAACUAUUCGUUCUAGAGGUAAAUUUUCUGAAAAAUAUUCUCUCAGACCCAAAUUUUCUUGAUUGACAAUAUGUUAGUUCAAAUAAAUCCUUUGAGUCCAUAACCGUAGCUCUAGUUAAAUUUCUUUGAUUGUAUGUUGAAUCACCCUUUCCAAUUCCACUUAUUCUAUCAUUAUGAUUAUCUGAAUAAGUUGGUUUAUACAAGAUGGACGAUGAUCAACUAUUUAUCUUCAUUGCUUUAUUCUUUUUGUCCUAGGUUCAAAGUGCAAUUGAUGGAUUUCGAGAAAAUGCAAGCAUCCAAAUUUUGCGUGUAUGAUUUUCUUCUUCUGUGUCAUUUGCAAUUGAAAAUGCAAACUCUGGAAGCAAGAAUCUCCUCUCAUCCAUUGAUCGUAAGUUUUCUAGUUUUUUUAAUGCGUGUUUUCAGUUUAAUCUUGGUAUAUAAUCUUUGUUCCAUUUAUGGUGUGCGCGGAAGAGAGAAUAGGAUCAACAGGACAAAAUUAAACUGUAUCUAACUAAGAAAGCCAUGCUGGUUCCUUACAACUUGACCAUGAGGCAUAUAGGAAUCUUUGUUCGAUGAUUGUUACUUGUUGUGGAGAAUUGAGGGAACUGAAGAGUGGACACUACUGCAAAAUUGUGGAAAUCACAGAAAAUGCAGGAAAAUGCCUUAUAGAAGAAUACGUGGUAAGAAAAUUGAAUGUGUGCAUCAAUAUGAGACUAGAUGUUUGUCACUUGGUAUUUAUUUUAAAAAGAUACUUCAGGAUCAAUACGUUUUUCUCUUUAUUUUUGGUUCCAGAACUCCUCAACCUCACCGACUAAAAUAAAGCAUAAGGCAUGCAACAAUUUGACAUCUACUGACCCUGUUACAAGCUGCAAAAUUGGUCCAAAUGCUUGCUUGCCGAUAAAAAAACGUUGUCUACACCUUUAAUUCCAUUUUUUGGUCGAAUAUUUUGUACUAUUUUAGUAAGUUAUUUUUGGAGUAGUAAUCGAUACUUUUGGCACAUUGAUAUCAACCUUUUGAAUAUGCUGAUGAUGUUCUUAGUCAUUUAGAUUAACUCUACAUUUCAGUAUAUUGUAUUUGGUCAUACUUAAUACUUUUAUUUAUUGGAAUUAUGGAAAACAUGAUUAUAUUAUAU